CCCAGUGCCGCCAGAGCCAGGCGCGGUCGGCCGCCGCCGACACGGGCGCACGGCGCAUGCGCGUGCGUUGAUCGAUCUCGUUGGGCGGCGGGCUCGCCCCCAGGGCCACGGCGCCGGCGAUCAUAGGCGCGGCCAAAAGUAGGCUCACCAUGGCCGGCAUCCACCGGUAGAUCUGCUGUCGGUCGGCAACGGCACCCAGGCAGUCAUCAUUGCCAUUGUCGCCCGAGCACAUGCCGAGCACGUGGCGGCCGACGAGGGGCGAAAAGGCCCGCGACAAGGGCGCCGACAAGAGCAUGCACGCCGUGGCGACGGGCAUGAUCACAUCCGACGCGCGCCGCCCCUGCGCAUAGUCGAUGUAGGCGCAAAAGGCCCAUGAGAAAAAGAGCGACCCGGCAAAGCGGCUGCCGACGCGCACGACGACGUCGUCGACGGCAAACAGCAGGUUGGGCACGCCCGUAAACAGCAACGAAUAGACGACCAGACCGACCGGGCGGCGCCAACCACCGACGACAGCACGCCGCACCGUGCCCGACAGGGCCGACGCGAACCCGAGAGGCAUGGCGACGCCGCGCGCAAUCGACAUGAGGGCCUUGGUCGUGUAGGCACCAUCGCCGGGCCGAUCGGCGAUCUCGUCGGUGAGCGUAAACACGGCGUAGGUGGGCACGAGCGUCGCCACCCAGUAGACGCUCGCCGCCACGGUCAUCCACGCCGCCGUGACCCACACGCGCUCGCCCAUCCAUUCACGCAGAGACGUCGGAUGGAGAGGCGCAUGCAACGCCGCGCCCGUGCGCGGGCGACCCAACGACGGCGACAAGAGGGCCGUCGUCUCGGUCGGCUCGUCUCGGCCGCUGUGCGUUGCCGCCAUUCUUUCGAUUGUAUUUUCGAGUUUUUUCUCGGCGGCACGUGGGUCUGCCGGAUCUAAAAAUACAAUCCUCUUGUUUGGCGGCGCUUAAUGAUCAUCGCAUGUUUGCGCCCCUUUUUUCCCAGACCGCGGUGUGGGUCUGUUUUGCCAGCAGCCUUUGUGCCUGCCCUCGCAUCUGCCGUCGCCGCCUGCCUUUUCAGCAUCUCUCGACGGACCUUUUCCCGGUCGCCCGGUAGCAUUCACCGACCGGCCGCGGCCGUAAUAUGAAAAAAAAAGAAAAACCAAUCUCGGCGACCGUUGUCGUUAACUUUUUGGAAAGGAUGCCGAGGCAGUGUGGUCCCUUUGCGCGCAUGGUUUGUAAACUGGCGGCCGACAAAGGACCUCAGCCGGUCCGGUGCGGUUCAUCCGGCAUGGAUGGAAUCCCAACCAACAAAUAAAACACAAUAAAAACGGGAGAAAAAAUCGAAACAGC
RNAcentral lists this long non-coding RNA (1334 nucleotides) under Pandoravirus dulcis. RNAcentral's name for it is "putative ncRNA". The record is from RNAcentral.